CCGAGUGGCGAUAGCACAUUCAAUGCACCCGAUCCCCAUAGAUCACUGAAGUGUUUGAACUAUGAAGUUAAUCAACGUUGCGUGUGGUUAGAAUCCGGAUGAGUGACCCUCUGUGCAAUUACGUGCUGCUGGCU
This 134-nucleotide ribosomal RNA is filed under the name Diaphorina citri (Asian citrus psyllid). Lineage: Eukaryota; Metazoa; Arthropoda; Insecta; Hemiptera; Psyllidae. The record is from RNAcentral.